RNAcentral lists this transfer RNA (74 nucleotides) under Sulfodiicoccus acidiphilus. It matches the Rfam family "tRNA". From Rfam's summary of the family: Transfer RNA (tRNA) molecules are approximately 80 nucleotides in length. Their secondary structure includes four short double-helical elements and three loops (D, anti-codon, and T loops). Lineage: Archaea; Thermoproteati; Thermoproteota; Thermoprotei; Sulfolobales; Sulfolobaceae. The record is from Rfam by way of RNAcentral.
GCCGCGGUAGCUCAGCUGGCUAGAGCACCGCCUUGGUAAGGCGGGGGUCUCGGGUUCGAAUCCCGACCGCGGCU